CCCUCAGUCUCUGACUGUUGGGACCUGUGGCGUAUAGGCGCAUCCGUCCAGCACUGGUUGCUACCCUAAGUUCCCUUGACUGGGACUAUAAUCCAAAGGAGGUGUCAGACCUGUAAGGGUGGCGUCGGUGUUGGUUGGUUGAUGCCUGGGAGUCGGAUUGCCUGAGAUCGCAGUCCAAAGAAGGUGGUAAACCUCACCUAAGACUAAAUAUGACCAUGAGACCGAUAGCAAACAAGUACCGUGAGGGAAAGUUGCAAAGUACUUUGAAGAGAGAGUUCAAGAGGACGUGAAACCGCUCAGAAGGAAACGGACAGAGCUGACGAAACUUGGUGACAUUCAGCUGUUGACUGGCUCUCUUCCGCUCGGAUCGACUUCACAGCGAUCCGUGUCGGUCGAAGCUCGUUGAUAGUGCAUUUGUUACCAGUAUGCGUCGAGAGCGACGCUUCCAUGUUCCGACUGGCCGGGUGUUGGCCCUGGGUACUCACGUAUCCAGGAAGACCUGCCUUACCGAAUGGAUAGAUUGGAGGUGUCGUUUCGUGUUCCGCCAAAGGAACGGUUUCCGGUGGUUGAUCAUUGUCAUUUGUUCCGGUCGCAUGCGAUUGGGCACUUGGCGACUGGUCUCCACCGGAGACUGUGACUGGGAUACGUAUCUCGAUGUGAAAGUCGGCCACCUGUCCGACCCGUCUUGAAACACGGACCAAGGAGUCUAUCGCGUGCGCGAGUCAUUGAGUGGUAAACUCAUUGGCGGAGUGAAAGCAAAGGUGUCCUAGCGAUUCUGAUACGUGAGCCAUCGUAUGGUGGUGCAACGUAGCCCCGUUCCGACUGCUUGCAGUAGGGCGGCGGUAGAGCGUACGUGACGGUACCCGAAAGAUGGUGAACUAUGCCCGAGCAGGACGAAGCCAGAGGAAACUCUGGUGGAAGUCCGAAGUGGUUCUGACGUGCAAAUCGAUCAUCAGA
This 957-nucleotide ribosomal RNA is filed under the name Camacolaimus sp. OVN-2021. RNAcentral's name for it is "partial large subunit ribosomal RNA". It matches the Rfam family "Eukaryotic large subunit ribosomal RNA", at positions 121 to 909 of the family's 3401-position model. Lineage: Eukaryota; Metazoa; Nematoda; Chromadorea; Plectida; Leptolaimidae. The record is from RNAcentral.